UACGGAGGGUGCAAGCGUUGUUCGGAUUUACUGGGCGUAAAGCGCACGUAGGCGGUUUGUUAAGUCAGGGGUGAAAUCCCGGAGCUCAACUCCGGAACUGCCUUUGAUACUGGCAGCUAGAGUCCGGAAGAGGUAAGUGGAACUCCUAGUGUAGAGGUGGAAUUCGUAGAUAUUAGGAAGAACACCAGUGGCGAAGGCGGCUUACUGGUCCGGAACUGACGCUGAGGUGCGAAAGCGUGGGGAGCAAACAGG
RNAcentral lists this ribosomal RNA (252 nucleotides) under uncultured bacterium. RNAcentral's name for it is "partial 16S ribosomal RNA". It matches the Rfam family "Bacterial small subunit ribosomal RNA", at positions 524 to 776 of the family's 1533-position model. The record is from RNAcentral.